AUGUUGUUGAAGUGAUGUCAUGUCUCUUCUCUGGCAAACCAAUGGAGAGAGCUUAAACAUCUCUGAUCUCAGCAU
RNAcentral lists this small nucleolar RNA (75 nucleotides) under Hucho hucho (huchen). Its description in RNAcentral is "Small nucleolar RNA SNORD111 (ENSHHUG00000021875.1)". Lineage: Eukaryota; Metazoa; Chordata; Actinopteri; Salmoniformes; Salmonidae. The record is from RNAcentral.